GAUGAACGCUGGCGGCGUGCCUAAUACAUGCAAGUCGAGCGAACAGACGAGGAGCUUGCUCCUCUGACGUUAGCGGCGGACGGGAGAGUAACACGUGGAUAACCUACCUAUAAGACUGGGAUAACUUCGGGAAACCGGAGCUAAUACCGGAUAAUAUAUUGAACCGCAUGGUUCAAUAGUGAAAGACGGUUUUGCUGUCACUUAUAGAUGGAUCCGCGCCGCAUUAGCUAGUUGGUAAGGUAACGGCUUACCAAGGCAACGAUGCGUAGCCGACCUGAGAGGGUGAUCGGCCACACUGGAACUGAGACACGGUCCAGACUCCUACGGGAGGCAGCAGUAGGGAAUCUUCCGCAAUGGGCGAAAGCCUGACGGAGCAACGCCGCGUGAGUGAUGAAGGUCUUCGGAUCGUAAAACUCUGUUAUUAGGGAAGAACAAAUGUGUAAGUAACUAUGCACGUCUUGACGAUACCUAAUCAGAAAGCCACGGCUAACUACGUG
Molecule: ribosomal RNA, 497 nt
Filed under: uncultured bacterium
Lineage: Bacteria
Description: partial 16S ribosomal RNA
Rfam family: Bacterial small subunit ribosomal RNA
Source: RNAcentral